This 325-nucleotide unclassified non-coding RNA is filed under the name uncultured fungus. Its description in RNAcentral is "sequence contains ITS1, 5.8S rRNA gene". The stretch from base 277 to 325 matches the Rfam family "5.8S ribosomal RNA", at positions 1 to 49 of the family's 154-position model. The record is from RNAcentral. Lineage: Eukaryota; Fungi.
UUUCCGUAGGUGAACCUGCGGAAGGAUCAUUAUUGAAUGAAUCGAGGGGUUGUUGCUGGCCCGUCGAGGGCAUGUGCACGCUCCUCAAUUUUCCUUCUCCACCUGUGCACCCUUUGUAGACUUUGGAAGGACCUCUCGAGGCAACUCGGAUGGAGGGUCGCUGGAUUAGCUUUCGGCCUCCCUUGCACUUCCAGGUCUAUGAUUUUCACAUACACUUUGAAUGUCAUUGAAUGUCUUUCAUGGCUUGCCGUAAAACGCAAUGCUUUAAACUAAUACAACUUUCAACAACGGAUCUCUUGGCUCUCGCAUCGAUGAAGAACGCAGC